This 433-nucleotide ribosomal RNA is filed under the name uncultured bacterium. Its description in RNAcentral is "bacterial SSU rRNA". It matches the Rfam family "Bacterial small subunit ribosomal RNA", at positions 28 to 456 of the family's 1533-position model. The record is from RNAcentral.
GACGAACGCUGGCGGCGCGCCUAACACAUGCAAGUCGAACGAGCGAGAGAGAGCUUGCUUUCUCGAGCGAGUGGCGAACGGGUGAGUAACGCGUGAGGAACCUGCCUCAAAGAGGGGGACAACAGUUGGAAACGACUGCUAAUACCGCAUAAGCCCACGACCCGGCAUCGGGUAGAGGGAAAAGGAGCAAUCCGCUUUGAGAUGGCCUCGCGUCCGAUUAGCUAGUUGGUGAGGUAACGGCCCACCAAGGCGACGAUCGGUAGCCGGACUGAGAGGUUGAACGGCCACAUUGGGACUGAGACACGGCCCAGACUCCUACGGGAGGCAGCAGUGGGGAAUAUUGCACAAUGGGGGAAACCCUGAUGCAGCGACGCCGCGUGGAGGAAGAAGGUCUUCGGAUUGUAAACUCCUGUUGUUGAGGAAGAUAAUGACG